ACAAAGUUAAACCCAUUCCGGAAAACUACCUCGCCAUGCAUCAUAAUCAGUCACGUGGAAAACCAACAACAGGUAUAAAGAGGGGCUGUUCGACAGCCUUGCAUCCCGCACUUCUCCCGCAACUGUGUCCGAUCUGAUCUGUAGUGAAAUUCUAUUUGAACAGCAGACAUGAAGUUCGCCGUAUUUCUCCUUGUCUUGGCAUGUGUUUGCGCUGUCGCCCUAAGCGCUCCUAGUAAAAGGAGGUGCAAAGGCAAAGAUGAGAACGGCAACGGCAAUGGCAACGGCAAUGGCAACGGUGAGAACGGCAAUGGAAAUGGCAACGAUGACAACGGUAAUGGAGAAUGUGACGAAGGGAACAAUGAUGACAAAUAUGAUGACUCGAACAACAACGGUAACGGCAAUGGCAACGGCAACGGUAACGACAACGGUAACGACAAUGGCAACGGCAAUGGCAAUGGCGACGCGUAACGGCAACUUUAACUGAGGUCGAACAAAUGCUCUUCCAGCGCAUCUUUCUAAAUGUGAAGCAGUUUCCCAUCGAGCGUAAUCAAGAAUGAAUGUCCUGCAAUCUUGAAUAAAUACUUUUCCCUAUCUUUCAA
Molecule: unclassified non-coding RNA, 599 nt
Filed under: Haliotis rufescens (red abalone)
Lineage: Eukaryota; Metazoa; Mollusca; Gastropoda; Lepetellida; Haliotidae
Description: aspartate and glycine-rich protein-like, transcript variant X4
Source: RNAcentral